AGAACCAACAGGGAUUGCUAGUAACGGCGAGUGAAGCGGCAACAGCUCAAAUUAUGAAAUCUGGCCUCUUUGAGGCGUCCGAGUUGUAAUUUGAUAGAGGAUGUUUCGGGUACGCCUCGGUCUAAAUUUGGACAGAAUGUCAAAGAGGGUGAGAAUCCCGUCUUGGACCGGCGGUAAGGCCCAUGUGAAACUCCUUCGACGAGUCGAGUUGUUUGGGAAUGCAGCUCAAAAUGGGUGGUAAAUUUCAUCUAAAGCUAAAUAUUGGCCAGAGACCGAUAGCGCACAAGUAGAGUGAUCGAAAGAUGAAAAGCACUUUGAAAAGAGAGUUAAACAGUAUGUGAAAUUGUUGAAAGGGAAGCGCUUGCAACCAGACUUGUGCUCGGCGGUUCCCCCUUCCUUUUGGUUGGGUUAUUCCGUCGUGUCCAGGCCAACAUCGGUUCUGGGGGUCGGUUAAAGGCCUUGGGAAUGUACCUACCUUCGGGCGUAGACUUAUAGCCCUUCCCGGGACCGAGGAACGCGCUUCGGCUCGAUGUUGCCCGUAAUGGUUGUCAGCGACCCGUCUUGAAACACGGACCAAGGAGUCUAACAUCUAUGCGAGUGUUUGGGUGUCAAACCCGGAACGCGAAAUGAAAGUGAACGGAGGUAGGAAGCUUCGGCUGCACUAUCGACCGAUCCUGAUGUCUUCGGAUGGAUUUGAGUAAGAGCAUAGCUGUUGGGACCCGAAAGAUGAUGAACUAUGCCUGAAUAGGGUGAAGCCAGAGGGAACUCUGGUGGAGGCUCGCAGCGGUUCUGACGUGCAAAUCGAUCGUCAAAUUUGGGUAUAGGGGCGAAAGACUAAUCGAAUCAUCUGGUAGCUGGUUCCUG
Molecule: ribosomal RNA, 864 nt
Filed under: Ascolacicola aquatica
Lineage: Eukaryota; Fungi; Ascomycota; Sordariomycetes; Sordariales
Description: LSU rRNA
Rfam family: Eukaryotic large subunit ribosomal RNA
Source: RNAcentral